This 821-nucleotide ribosomal RNA is filed under the name uncultured bacterium. RNAcentral describes it as "bacterial SSU rRNA". It matches the Rfam family "Bacterial small subunit ribosomal RNA", at positions 57 to 861 of the family's 1533-position model. The record is from RNAcentral.
GCAGUCGANCGCGAAAGCCCUUCGGGGUGAGUAGAGUGGCGAACGGGUGAGUAACACGUGGGUAACUUGCCCCUCGCAGGGGGAUAACCGAGGGAAACCUCGGCUAAUAGCCCGUACGCUCGUUGGGCCGCAUGGCCCUUCGAGGAAAGGUAGCUUCGGCCAUCCGGCGAGGGAUGGGCCCGCGAUACAUUAGCUAGUUGGUGGGGUAACGGCCCACCAAGGCGACGAUGUAUAGCUGGUCUGAGAGGAUGAUCAGCCACACUGGGACUGAGACACGGCCCAGACUCCUACGGGAGGCAGCAGUCGGGAGUCUUGGGCAAUGGGCGAAAGCCUGACGCAGCAACGUCGUGUGGGCGAUGAAGGCCUUCGGGUCGUAAAGCCCUGUUGUUGGGGACGAAGGGCUCUCGGGGUUAAUAGCCCCGAAGCCUGACGGUACCCUCCGAGGAAGCCCCGGCUAACUACGUGCCAGCAGCCGCGGUAAUACGUAGGGGGCGAGCGUUGUCCGGAAUCAUUGGGCGUAAAGAGCGUGUAGGCGGUCCGAUAAGUCCGUCGUGAAAACCCGGGGCUCAACCCUGGGCUUGCGGUGGAUACUGUCGGGCUAGAGGAUGGUAGANGGGAGUGGAAUUCCCGGUGUAGCGGUGAAAUGCGCAGAUAUCGGGAGGAACACCAGUAGCGAANGCGGCUCCCUGGGCCAUUCCUGACGCUGAGACGCGAAAGCUAGGGGAGCGAACAGGAUUAGAUACCCUGGUAGUCCUAGCCGUAAACGAUGAACACUNNNUGUGGGGGGAGUCGAAUCCCNCUGUGCCNCAGCCCAACGCGAU